GACGAACGCUGGCGGCGUGCUUAACACAUGCAAGUCGAACGGUGAAGGGACCGGUUUUUGCUGGUUCUGGAUGAGUGGCGAACGGGUGAGUAACACGUGAGUAACCUGCCCCCUUCUUCUGGAUAACCGCAUGAAAGUGUGGCUAAUACGGGAUAUUCUGCGCCUGCUGCAUGGUGGGUGUGGGAAAGAUAUUGUUUCGGUGGGGGAUGGGCUCGCGGCCUAUCAGCUUGUUGGUGGGGUGAUGGCCUACCAAGGCGGUGACGGGUAGCCGGCCUGAGAGGGUGGACGGUCACACUGGGACUGGGACACGGCCCAGACUCCUACGGGAGGCAGCAGUGGGGAAUAUUGCACAAUGGGCGCAAGCCUGAUGCAGCGACGCCGCGUGAGGGAUGGAGGCCUUCGGGUUGUAAACCUCUUUCGCCAGUGAAGCAGGCCUGUCCCUUUUGUGGGUGGGUUGACGGUAGCUGGAUAAGAAGCGCCGGCUAACUACGUG
RNAcentral lists this ribosomal RNA (493 nucleotides) under uncultured bacterium. Its description in RNAcentral is "partial 16S ribosomal RNA". It matches the Rfam family "Bacterial small subunit ribosomal RNA", at positions 28 to 507 of the family's 1533-position model. The record is from RNAcentral.